UACGGAGGGUGCAAGCGUUAUCCGGAUUCACUGGGUUUAAAGGGUGCGUAGGUGGCUAUAUAAGUCAGUGGUGAAAGCCCGCGGCUCAACCGUGGAAUUGCCAUUGAAACUGCAUAGCUUGAGUACAGUUGAAGUGGGCGGAAUACAUCAUGUAGCGGUGAAAUGCUUAGAUAUGAUGUAGAACACCGAUUGCGAAGGCAGCUCACUAAGCUGUAACUGACACUGAGGCACGAAAGCGUGGGGAGCGAACAGG
Molecule: ribosomal RNA, 253 nt
Filed under: uncultured bacterium
Lineage: Bacteria
Description: partial 16S ribosomal RNA
Rfam family: Bacterial small subunit ribosomal RNA
Source: RNAcentral